UACGGGGGGAGCAAGCGUUGUUCGGAUUUACUGGGCGUAAAGCGCGUGUAGGCGGCCCGGUAAGUCCGCUGUGAAAGUCGGGGGCUCAACCCUCGGAAGCCGGUGGAUACUGUCGGGCUCGAGUACGGAAGAGGCGAGUGGAAUUCCUGGUGUAGCGGUGAAAUGCGCAGAUAUCAGGAGGAACACCUAUUGCGAAGGCAGCUCGCUGGGACGUUACUGACGCUGAGACGCGAAAGCGUGGGGAGCAAACAGG
This 253-nucleotide ribosomal RNA is filed under the name uncultured bacterium. Its description in RNAcentral is "partial 16S ribosomal RNA". It matches the Rfam family "Bacterial small subunit ribosomal RNA", at positions 524 to 776 of the family's 1533-position model. The record is from RNAcentral.